RNAcentral lists this ribosomal RNA (303 nucleotides) under uncultured bacterium. RNAcentral's name for it is "partial 16S ribosomal RNA". It matches the Rfam family "Bacterial small subunit ribosomal RNA", at positions 507 to 808 of the family's 1533-position model. The record is from RNAcentral.
AGCAGUCGCCACGGUAAUACGUAGGUCCCGAGCGUUGUCCGGAUUUAUUGGGCGUAAAGCGAGCGCAGGCGGUUAGAUAAGUCUGAAGUUAAAGGCUGUGGUUUAACCAUAGUACGCUUUGGAAACUGUUUAACUUGAGUGCAAGAGGGGAGAGUGGAAUUCCAUGUGUAGCGGUGAAAUGCGUAGAUAUAUGGAGGAACACCGGUGGCGAAAGCGGCUCUCUGGCUUGUAACUGACGCUGAGGCUCGAAAGCGUGGGGAGCAAACAGGAUUAGAUACCCCAGUAGUCCCUGUCUCUUAUACA